Molecule: non-coding RNA, 109 nt
Organism: Struthio camelus australis
Lineage: Eukaryota; Metazoa; Chordata; Aves; Struthioniformes; Struthionidae
Source: RefSeq, a predicted model, not a curated record
GAACCCGGCGAUAUUAAAGAUGUCGUAGGACCCCGAGGGCCUCCGGGACCGCAGGGUCCCGCAGGCGAGCAAGGACAACGAGGCGACCGCGGCGAGAAAGGAGAGAAGG